UAAAGCCGAAGAUUCUCCUAGCCGUUGUACGCACUCUGAGAACACGAAGCCCCACUACGAAAGUAGCUUUACCCACUACUUCCUGACUCCACGAAAGCUAAGAAACAAACUGGGAUUAGAUACCCCACUAUGCUUAGCCUUAAACCUAGAUGUGAACCUUACAAAUACAUCCGCCAGGGUACUACAAGCGCUAGCUUAAAACCCAAAGGACUUGACGGUAUCUCAGACCCACCUAGAGGAGCCUGUUCUAGAACCGAUAACCCCCGUUAAACCUCACCACCCCUUGUUUCCUCAGCCUAUAUACCGCCGUCGCAAGCUUACCCUGUGAAGGCCCAACAGUAAGCAAAAUGGUAUUACACCAGAACGUCAGGUCGAGGUGUAGCUCACGAGGUGGGAAGAAAUGGGCUACAUUUUCUAUACCAGAAAAACACGAAUAACACUAUGAAACUAGUAAUUGAAGGUGGAUUUAGUAGUAAAAAACAAAUAGAGAGUCUUUUUGAAUUAGGCUCUGAGAUGCGUACACACCGCCCGUCACUC
This 537-nucleotide ribosomal RNA is filed under the name Roeboides xenodon. Its description in RNAcentral is "partial small subunit ribosomal RNA". It matches the Rfam family "Bacterial small subunit ribosomal RNA", at positions 657 to 1402 of the family's 1533-position model. Lineage: Eukaryota; Metazoa; Chordata; Actinopteri; Characiformes; Characidae. The record is from RNAcentral.